AGGAGAAAGACGAUGAUAACACAAAUCAAUAUAAUGAGGAGAUAGAUUACGGGUGGUGCGAAUAUCCUUACGAAGAGCAAUGGGAAGGUCAGGCUCAGGUGGCAGGGCCGGAUCCGGAGGUGGCGUCGGAGGAGAGUCUGUAAUGGGAGCAGGAACAGGCACAACAGAGGGUAAGCGACGACGCUGAUAUGUUUGUAGUGGUCGAGGAGGUUGAGGGGCAAACUCGGCAGGUUCGAUAGGGAUAUGAGUGGGUGGGAGAGGUAUAACUACUUGAGGAGGUUCGGGAGGGAUGUCCUGAUAGGGCUCAGUAGCUAUAUGGGUAGGUUUAAAAUAUUGUACAGACUCAAAAAAGGUAACAUC
RNAcentral lists this long non-coding RNA (360 nucleotides) under Cicer arietinum (chickpea). RNAcentral's name for it is "long non-coding RNA (CARI_LNC000490)". Lineage: Eukaryota; Viridiplantae; Streptophyta; Magnoliopsida; Fabales; Fabaceae. The record is from RNAcentral.